This 144-nucleotide small nucleolar RNA is filed under the name Arabidopsis thaliana x Arabidopsis arenosa. Its description in RNAcentral is "snoR135". It matches the Rfam family "small nucleolar RNA snoR135". Lineage: Eukaryota; Viridiplantae; Streptophyta; Magnoliopsida; Brassicales; Brassicaceae. The record is from RNAcentral.
GAAGCAGAGAUAUGUGUGUAUCGGUUUAGUGCGUUCAAAUGCACUUUUCACGAAAGAUUUCUUUGCAAUAUCCAAUUUUGGGGCAGAUGGGCAGUUGUGAUUCAUCGUCUAUUGAAUAGCUCAACAAUCAUCUUCCCCACAUUC